AGAGUUUGAUCCUGGCUCAGGACGAACGCUGGCGGCGUGUCUAAGGCAUGCAAGUCGAACGAACCAUUUUCAUCCGUAUGAGACCUCGGUUGAUUACACCGAGAAUGGUGAGUGGCAAACGGGAGAGUAACACGUAGGUAACCUACCGCACACUCGAGGACAACUUCGGGAAACCGAUGCUAAUACUCGAUAGUCAUGGGGGGACGCAAGUCAUUCCCAUGUAAAGAUUUAUCGGUGUGUGAGGGGCCUGCGGCCUAUCAGCUUGUUGGUAAGGUAACGGCUUACCAAGGCUAUGACGGGUAUGAGGUGUGAGAGCAUGACCUCACUCAUUGGAACUGAGACACUGUCCAAACUCCUACGGGAGGCUGCAGUCAAGAAUCUUCCACAAUGGACGAAAGUCUGAUGGAGCGACGCCGCGUGCAGGAUGAAGCUUUUCGGAGUGUAAACUGCUUUUCUUAGGGACGAAUUCGUGACGGUACCUAAGGAAUAAGAGGUUGCAAACUCUGUGCCAGCAGCAGCGGUAAUACAGAGACCUCAAGCGUUGUCCGGAUUUAUUGGGCGUAAAGGGUUCGCAGGUGGUUGUAUAAGUCAGUCGUUAAAGCUCUGGGCUUAACUCAGAAAUCGCGAUUGAUACUGUACAACUAGAGGCCGGGAGAGGUGAGCAGAAUUGCUGGUGUAGUCGUAAUAAGCGUUGAUAUCAGCAGGAAUACCAAAGGCGAAGGCAGCUCACUGGAACGUGCCUGACACUCAUGAACGAAAGCGUGGGGAGCGAAGGGGAUUAGAUACCCCCGUAGUCCACGCCCUAAACGAUGGAUACUAGGUAUUGGCAGUAUCGACCCUGUCAGUGCCGUUAUAAAAAGCUAACGCGUUAAGUAUCCCGCCUGUGGAGUACGGCCGCAAGGCUAAAACAUAAAGGAAUAGACGGGGAGACGCACAAGUAGUGGAGCAUGUGGCUUAAUUCGAUACCAAGCGAGGAACCUCACCUGGGCUUAAAUUUACGCUGCACACCCCCUGAAAAGGGGGAAUCUUUUGAAGGUGCGUAAAAGGUGAUGCAUGGUUGCCGUCAGCUCGUGCCGUGAGGUGUGCCCUUCAGUGGGGUAACGAGCGCAACCCUCGUCGUGUGUUACAUAUCACACGAGACUGCCUACGCAAGUAGGAGGAAGGCGAGGAUGACGUCAAAUCAGCAUGUCUCUUACGUCCAGGGCUGCACACAUGCUACAAUGGCUGGUACAACGGGUUGCCAAACCGCGAGGUGGAGCUAAUCCUCUAAAACCAGCCUCAGUUCGGAUUGAAGUCUGCAAUUUGACUUCAUGAAGUCGGAAUUACUAGUAAACGCGCAUCAGCCACGGCGCGUUGAAUACGUUCUCGUCUCUUGUACUCACCGCCCGUCACACCAGGAAAGUUGGCAACGGCUUAAGUAUCGCGUUCGCGGGACCAAGCUGGGGUCAGUGAUCAGGGUGAAGUCGUA
Molecule: ribosomal RNA, 1468 nt
Filed under: uncultured Parcubacteria group bacterium
Lineage: Bacteria
Description: bacterial SSU rRNA
Rfam family: Bacterial small subunit ribosomal RNA
Source: RNAcentral